This 369-nucleotide ribosomal RNA is filed under the name Triticum aestivum (bread wheat). Its description in RNAcentral is "partial small subunit ribosomal RNA". The record is from RNAcentral. Lineage: Eukaryota; Viridiplantae; Streptophyta; Magnoliopsida; Poales; Poaceae.
AUGGUGGUGAUGUACGCGUCACGGAGCAUGUGGAAGUUCCUGAUGUCCUUCUUGAGGAUAUGCUUGAAGGCACCACCAAAGCCCAGCCAGACCGGGAGGUGGAACCGUGUCUGCGUCCAUGCGAAGAUCCAUGGGAUUGCACGGAGUGAUUCAAUGCCACCACUUGGCUUUCUCUUGGAUGGCCUGCUCCCUAUAUUCAUCCUGCCAUACUCUGUCUCCGGUGUUGCCUGCGGAAAUACUCGACGAAGCGUGGUUCUUGGAAGACAAUUGACCGAUAUUCUUCAGUUGCCACCACAGCCAUCUCAUCGAGAAGAGCUCGCCACUCUGGCUUUGGUGAAAUGGGUGGACGCAUCCCAUGCUCAAGAGUAG